GAUGAACGCUGGCGGCGUGCCUAAUACAUGCAAGUCGAGCGAACAGACGAGGAGCUUGCUCCUCUGACGUUAGCGGCGGACGGGUGAGUAACACGUGGAUAACCUACCUAUAAGACUGGGAUAACUUCGGGAAACCGGAGCUAAUACCGGAUAAUAUAUUGAACCGCAUGGUUCAAUAGUGAAAGACGGUUUUGCUGUCACUUAUAGAUGGAUCCGCGCCGCAUUAGCUAGUUGGUAAGGUAACGGCUUACCAAGGCGACGAUGCGUAGCCGACCUGAGAGGGUGAGCGGCCACACUGGAACUGAGACACGGUCCAGACUCCUACGGGAGGCAGCAGUAGGGAAUCUUCCGCAAUGGGCGAAAGCCGGACGGAGCAACGCCGCGUGAGUGAUGAAGGUCUUCGGAUCGUAAAACUCUGUUAUUAGGGAAGAACAAAUGUGUAAGUAACUAUGCACGUCUUGACGGUACCUAAUCAGAAAGCCACGGCUAACUACGUG
Molecule: ribosomal RNA, 497 nt
Filed under: uncultured bacterium
Lineage: Bacteria
Description: partial 16S ribosomal RNA
Rfam family: Bacterial small subunit ribosomal RNA
Source: RNAcentral